This 587-nucleotide ribosomal RNA is filed under the name uncultured bacterium. RNAcentral describes it as "bacterial SSU rRNA". It matches the Rfam family "Bacterial small subunit ribosomal RNA", at positions 338 to 917 of the family's 1533-position model. The record is from RNAcentral.
CCUACGGGAGGCAGCAGUGGGGAAUUUUGGACAAUGGGCGCAAGCCUGAUCCAGCAAUGCCGCGUGAGUGAAGAAGGCCUUCGGGUUGUAAAGCUCUUUUGUCAGGGAAGAAACGGUGGGAGCUAAUAUCUCCUACUAAUGACGGUACCUGAAGAAUAAGCACCGGCUAACUACGUGCCAGCAGCCGCGGUAAUACGUAGGGUGCAAGCGUUAAUCGGAAUUACUGGGCGUAAAGCGUGCGCAGGCGGUUUUGUAAGUCUGUCGUGAAAGCCCCGGGCUCAACCUGGGAAUUGCGAUGGAGACUGCAAGGCUUGAAUCUGGCAGAGGGGGGUAGAAUUCCACGUGUAGCAGUGAAAUGCGUAGAGAUGUGGAGGAACACCGAUGGCGAAGGCAGCCCCCUGGGUCAAGAUUGACGCUCAUGCACGAAAGCGUGGGGAGCAAACAGGAUUAGAUACCCUGGUAGUCCACGCCCUAAACGAUGUCUACUAGUUGUCGGGUUUUAAUAACUUGGUAACGCAGCUAACGCGUGAAGUAGACCGCCUGGGGAGUACGGUCGCAAGNUUAAAACUUNAAAUUGAAUUGACCGG